Molecule: ribosomal RNA, 468 nt
Filed under: uncultured bacterium
Lineage: Bacteria
Description: partial 16S ribosomal RNA
Rfam family: Bacterial small subunit ribosomal RNA
Source: RNAcentral
GACGAACGCUGGCGGCGUGCUUAACACAUGCAAGUCGAACGGAAAGGCCCUGCUUUUGUGGGGUGCUCGAGUGGCGAACGGGUGAGUAACACGUGAGUAACCUGCCCUUGACUUUGGGAUAACUUCAGGAAACUGGGGCUAAUACCGGAUAGGAGCUCCUGCUGCAUGGUGGGGGUUGGAAAGUUUCGGCGGUUGGGGAUGGACUCGCGGCUUAUCAGCUUGUUGGUGGGGUAGUGGCUUACCAAGGCUUCGACGGGUAGCCGGCCUGAGAGGGUGACCGGCCACAUUGGGACUGAGAUACGGCCCAGACUCCUACGGGAGGCGGCAGUGGGGAAUAUUGCACAAUGGGCGGAAGCCUGAUGCAGCAACGCCGCGUGCGGGAUGACGGCCUUCGGGUUGUAAACCGCUUUCGCCUGUGACGAAGCGUGAGUGACGGUAAUGGGUAAAGAAGCACCGGCUAACUACGUG